GAUGAACGCUGGCGGCGUGCUUAACACAUGCAAGUCGAACGAAGCACUUUUUCACGAUCCCUUCGGGGUGACGAAAUUGUGACUUAGUGGCGGACGGGUGAGUAACGCGUGAGUAACCUGCCUUACACAGGGGGAUAACAGUUAGAAAUGACUGCUAAUACCGCAUAAGCGCACAGGGCUGCAUGACCUGGUGUGAAAAGAUUUUUCGGUGUAAGAUGGACUCGCGUCUGAUUAGCUAGUUGGUGAGGUAACGGCCCACCAAGGCAACGAUCAGUAGCCGACUUGAGAGAGUGAUCGGCCACAUUGGGACUGAGACACGGCCCAAACUCCUACGGGAGGCAGCAGUGGGGAAUAUUGCACAAUGGAGGAAACUCUGAUGCAGCGACGCCGCGUGAGUGAUGAAGUAUUUCGGUAUGUAAAGCUCUAUCAGCAAGGAAGAUAAUGACGGUACUUGACUAAGAAGCUCCGGCUAAAUACGAGCCAGCCGCCGCAGUAA
RNAcentral lists this ribosomal RNA (496 nucleotides) under uncultured bacterium. RNAcentral describes it as "partial 16S ribosomal RNA". It matches the Rfam family "Bacterial small subunit ribosomal RNA", at positions 28 to 523 of the family's 1533-position model. The record is from RNAcentral.